GGUGGAUGUGUCUCACCCAUUUUGCUUAAUAUGUAAUUGAUAAAUCCAAUUAUGAUGGAAGAAAUGUUGAAGCUUUGUUGAGGAAAAUGAUAAGCAAAGCUAUAUAUGUUGGUUGAUUAAUACUUGGUGUACUUCAACAAUACCAGGCAGGCAGGUAGACAACAACUUGAUUGGGGGUAUAUUUGACCUUGCUGUUUGCAUUGCUAUUGAGAAAUCACUUUGAAUGUGUUAAUUAAAACCCAUCAAUAAUUGUUUUUAAGUUAAAUUUGAC
Molecule: unclassified non-coding RNA, 271 nt
Filed under: Hevea brasiliensis (rubber tree)
Lineage: Eukaryota; Viridiplantae; Streptophyta; Magnoliopsida; Malpighiales; Euphorbiaceae
Source: RNAcentral